Molecule: ribosomal RNA, 468 nt
Filed under: uncultured bacterium
Lineage: Bacteria
Description: partial 16S ribosomal RNA
Rfam family: Bacterial small subunit ribosomal RNA
Source: RNAcentral
GACGAACGCUGGCGGCGUGCUUAACACAUGCAAGUCGAACGGAAAGGCCCUGCUUUUGUGGGGUGCUCGAGUGGCGAACGGGUGAGUAACACGUGAGUAACCUGCCCUUGACUUUGGGAUAACUUCAGGAAACUGGGGCUAAUACCGGAUAGGAGCUCCUGCUGCAUGGUGGGGGUUGGAAAGUUUCGGCGGUUGGGGAUGGACUCGCGGUUUAUCAGCUUGUUGGUGGGGUAGUGGCUUACCAAGGCUUUGGCGGGUAGCCGGCCUGAGAGGGUGACCGGCCACAGUGGGACUGAGAUGCGGCCCAGACUCCUACGGGAGGCAGCAGUGGGGAAUAGUGCAAAAUGGGCGGAAGCCUUAUGCAGCAACGCCGCGUGGGGGAUGACGGCCUUCGGGUUGUAAACCGCUUUCGCCUGUGACGAAGCGUGAGUGACGGUAAUGGGUAAAGAAGCACCGGCUAACUACGUG